Molecule: small nuclear RNA, 105 nt
Filed under: Crocodylus porosus (Australian saltwater crocodile)
Lineage: Eukaryota; Metazoa; Chordata; Crocodylia; Crocodylidae
Description: U1 spliceosomal RNA (ENSCPRG00005003532.1)
Source: RNAcentral
CUACUUACCUGGCAGGGGAAAUGCUGUGAUCGCUAAGGUGGUUUUCCUAGGGACGGGAGAUAACUGCUUUUCUGGCAUGGGUAGUAUCUUUGGAGAUAAUGUAUA